AGGCAGCAGUGGGGAAUAUUGGGCAAUGGACGAAAGACUGACCCAGCGACGCCGCGUGCGGGAUGAAGGCCUUCGGGUUGUAAACCGCUUUCAGCAGGGAAGAAGCGAAAGUGACGGUACCUGCAGAAGAAGCACCGGCUAACUAUGUGCCAGCAGCCGCGGUAAUACAUAGGGUGCAAGCGUUGUCCGGAAUUAUUGGGCGUAAAGAGCUCGUAGGUGGUUCGUUACGUCGGAUGUGAAAAUCUGGGGCUCAACCCCAGACCUGCAUUCGAUACGGGCGAGCUUGAGUUUGGUAGGGGAGACUGGAAUUCCU
This 313-nucleotide ribosomal RNA is filed under the name uncultured bacterium. RNAcentral's name for it is "bacterial SSU rRNA". It matches the Rfam family "Bacterial small subunit ribosomal RNA", at positions 346 to 671 of the family's 1533-position model. The record is from RNAcentral.